AUGCAAGUCGAACGGAAGUUUAAGCAAUUAAACUUUAGUGGCGAACGGGUGAGUAACGCGUAAGCAAUCUGCCCCUAAGACGAGGAUAACAGUUGGAAACGACUGCUAAGACUGGAUAGGAGACAAGAGGGCAUCUUCUUGUUUUUAAAAGACCUAGCAAUAGGUAUGCUUAGGGAGGAGCUUGCGUCACAUUAGUUAGUUGGUGGGGUAAAGGCCUACCAAGACUAUGAUGUGUAGCCGGGCUGAGAGGUUGAACGGCCACAUUGGGACUGAGACACGGCCCAAACUCCUACGGGAGGCAGCAGUAGGGAAUUUUCGGCAAUGGAGGAAACUCUGACCGAGCAACGCCGCGUGAACGAUGAAGUAUUUCGGUACGUAAAGUUCUUUUAUUAGGGAAGAAUAAAUGAUGGAAAAAUCAUUCUGACGGUACCUAAUGAAUAAGCCCCGGCUAACUAUGUGCCAGCAGCCGCGGUAAUACAUAGGGGGCAAGCGUUAUCCGGAAUUAUUGGGCGUAAAGGGUGCGUAGGCGGUUAAAUAAGUUUAUGGUCUAAGUGCAAUGCUCAACAUUGUGAUGCUAUAAAAACUGUUUAGCUAGAGUAAGAUAGAGGCAAGUGGAAUUCCAUGUGUAGUGGUAAAAUGCGUAAAUAUAUGGAGGAACACCAGUAGCGAAGGCGGCUUGCUGGGUCUUUACUGACGCUGAGGCACGAAAGCGUGGGGAGCAAACAGGAUUAGAUACCCUGGUAGUCCACGCCGUAAACGAUGAGUACUAAACGUUGGGUAAAACCAGUGUUGAAGUUAACACAUUAAGUACUCCGCCUGAGUAGUACGUACGCAAGUAUGAAACUUAAAGGAAUUGACGGGACUCCGCACAAGCGGUGGAUCAUGUUGUUUAAUUCGAAGGUACCCGAAAAACCUCACCAGGUCUUGACAUGCUUCUGCAAAGCUGUAGAAACACAGUGGAGGUUAUCAGUUGCACAGGUGGUGCAUGGUUGCCGUCAGCUCGUGUCGUGAGAUGUUGGGUUAAGUCCCGCAACGAGCGCAACCCUUAUUGUUAGUUACCAGCACGUAAUGGUGGGGACUUUAGCAAGACUGCCAGUGAUAAAUUGGAGGAAGGUGGGGACGACGUCAAAUCAUCAUGCCCCUUAUGACCUGGGCUACAAACGUGAUACAAUGGCUGUUACAAAGGGUAGCUGAAGCGCAAGUUUUUGGCGAAUCUCAAAAAAACAGUCUCAGUUCGGAUUGAAGUCUGCAACUCGACUUCAUGAAGUUGGAAUCGCUAGUAAUCGCGAAUCAGCAUGUCGCGGUGAAUACGUUCUCGGGGUUUGUACACACCGCCCGUCAAACCACGAAAGUUGGUAAUACCCAAAGCCGGUGGCCUAACUUCGCAAGAAGAGGGAACCGUCUAAGGUAGGGUCGAUGAUUGGGGUUAAG
RNAcentral lists this ribosomal RNA (1431 nucleotides) under Periwinkle little leaf phytoplasma. RNAcentral's name for it is "bacterial SSU rRNA". It matches the Rfam family "Bacterial small subunit ribosomal RNA". Lineage: Bacteria; Bacillati; Mycoplasmatota; Mollicutes; Acholeplasmatales; Acholeplasmataceae. The record is from RNAcentral.